CAGUCGCCGCGGUAAUACGAAGGGUGCAAGCGUUACUCGGAAUUACUGGGCGUAAAGCGUGCGUAGGUGGUGGUUUAAGUCCGUUGUGAAAGCCCUGGGCUCAACCUGGGAAUGGCAGUGGAUACUGGCAAGCUAGAGUGUGUCAGAGGAUGGUGGAAUUCCCGGUGUAGCGGUGAAAUGCGUAGAGAUCGGGAGGAACAUCAGUGGCGAAGGCGGCCAUCUGGGACAACACUGACGCUGAGGCACGAAAGCGUGGGGAGCAAACAGGAUUAGAUACCCGCGUAGUCCCUGUCUCUUAUAC
RNAcentral lists this ribosomal RNA (301 nucleotides) under uncultured bacterium. Its description in RNAcentral is "partial 16S ribosomal RNA". It matches the Rfam family "Bacterial small subunit ribosomal RNA", at positions 509 to 807 of the family's 1533-position model. The record is from RNAcentral.